UACAGAGGGGGCAAGCGUUGUUCGGAAUUACUGGGCGUAAAGGGCGCGUAGGCGGCCUGCUAAGUCGAACGUGAAAUCCCUGGGCUCAACCCAGGAACUGCGUCCGAUACUGGUUGGCUUGAAUCCGGGAGAGGGAUGUGGAAUUCCAGGUGUAGCGGUGAAAUGCGUAGAUAUCUGGAGGAACACCGGUGGCGAAGGCGACAUCCUGGACCGGUAUUGACGCUGAGGCGCGAAAGCCAGGGGAGUAAACGGG
RNAcentral lists this ribosomal RNA (253 nucleotides) under uncultured bacterium. RNAcentral's name for it is "partial 16S ribosomal RNA". It matches the Rfam family "Bacterial small subunit ribosomal RNA", at positions 524 to 776 of the family's 1533-position model. The record is from RNAcentral.